GAACAAAGUUUGCAGUGGUGCAAACUGUUAGGAGGAGAAGGCUGGAAGCAAAAGGGUUAAAAAAGAUCACACGCUGCCUUGUAAAGAUAGCAGGAAUUAGGGAACAGGCGACAGAUGUUCCAUGUGGAGGCACUUAGUUUUAUGGUGCCACUUGGACCCAUUUAAUACCUUUAAAAGCAAUCACUUGGUCAUUUGCGAAAGCAGAUAUAGGGACUGAGUUGUUUGAAAACAGAGGCAUCUUUGGCCAAGUCUGUCUACCACUUCCAGGAUGUUCUGCUGUGACAAAUGGCGGAAGAAAGUUUGCUGUUUGCUGUCUCAAAGGUAUAAAUCAUUGCUAGGUGAAUUGCUAUGCCAUAAACAAUGUUCAAAUGCAAGGUGGCGGGAAACUAAUUUCAAAUGAUACAGGUACAUUUAAUUGCCUAUUUUAUUUUGUUUAUGAUUCCUUUCCCAUGAGACAUCCCAAAGUGGUUAACAAAUAAAUGAAAAUAUCAAUAAAAGUGUGUGAGAGAGAAGGAGGGAGGGAGGAGAGAUGGUGGAUGGAUGGAUGGAGAGAUGGAGAGAUGCUAUGGACAAAAUUUCCCUGAGUCCUACCCAAGUCAGGUCUAUUCAGAAGGACUUUGACAUCAGAUGAGGAAGACAGGCAAACUAAUGUCAGUGUACUGGAAGAAGCAAAUAUCACCAGUGUAGAAGCAACGAUUCUUCAACAUCAACUCCGUUGGACUGGUCAUGUUGUUCGGAUGCCUGAUUAUCGUCUUCCAAAGCAACUAGUCUAUUCCCAACUUAAGAAUGGAAAGCGACAUACCAGUGGACAACAAAAGAGAUUUAAAGACUCUCUCAAGGCAAAUCUUUUUUUAAAAUGUAGUAUAAACACUGACAACUGGGAAUCAUUGGCCUGCGAGUGCUCCAAUUGGAGAACAGCCUUCACCAAAGGCGUCACAGACUUUGAAGAAGCACAAACUCAGGACAAAGGGCAAAAAGAGCUAAGAGGAAGGCAUGUUUGGCAAAUCCUCACCAUGAUCAACUCCCACCCGGAAACCUAUGUCCCCACUGUAGAAGGAUGUGCAAAUUCAGAAUGGCCUCCACAGUCACUUAUGAACACCCUGUUAAGACCAUAUUCAUGGAAGACAAUCUUCCUUGGCUAUGAGUGACCGUCAAAGAAGAAGAGGCAUGAACUGCUAUGGGUCUGGUUGGGUGGUCCACAGCCAUCCAUGGUUGUCAUCAGGAAGGAACAUCAGACAGGAAAGAGAGGCAAGCAGGGUGGGGAAACCCUUCAGCAAAGUCAAGAUCUCUGCUUGGUGGCUGCAUCUUCCAGGAGGAGGAAGGCCCAACUUCCUGUGUGCCUGUUGCUCUUCUUCCUGCCUGAUGCCUCCCCACACCUCAACAUCCUGCAGCUUGUGGGUGGGUGAUGUCCACAAGCAGCUUUCUUUUCAAAUGGGGUGAGUCUGUGGGAGGGAGGCACCCACCAUCUCAGCCAGGGUGUCUCUGCCCUUCUCUUAGCUAUGUAUUUAAUUAGGAUUUCAGAACACUAAUUCAAUUCAAUUUAUUUAUUAAAUUUAUAUAUCACCCGUCAUCCGAAGAUCACAGGGUGGUUUACAACAGAAAAGCUUAAAAAAUGCACCCCAUAGUAAGAAACCAAAACAAUGACACACACACACACCAAAAAUUAGUCCUGCCCCUGAACUUACGUGGACCCAAGCGUGGGGUGGUGGUCCUAGGGUCAGCCAAGGGUGGGGCAACCCAAGGCUCUUUGUAUCGGAGCCAAAGGUGGGGUAGAUUGGGAGGCUGCCACAGCCCUCUCACAUCCCCCCUGCAGCCUUGAUUCCGGGGACCUCAAUCAGGGCAACCCAACCUGGACUAACCUGAGGACGACCUACCUCACACUGGACCCAGUUCCAAAGAAGUUCAGGAACAAGGCUUAUGUUUAAUUAGGAGCUUUUCUGAAACCCUAAUUAAACAUAUGGCCAGGUAGGGGAAGGAGAUAUUGUUCCCCUCUCCACCUCCAUGAGAGCAAGGGGUGUUAAUUCUAUGGGUGGUCCUUUACAAGUAGCUUUGGCCUUUGAUACAAAAAUUACCCAAUAGCUUGAAGGGCUUGUAUAGACUUUCCAGCGGAGGAAAUGAGAUGUUUCUACUUGACUGGCUUAGAUGAAUGUAAAAGAGGUUUUUCACUUGAAAUGGGGAAUUUAUAGGCCAGCAUCUUGGGGGUUCAUCUGCCAGCUGAGAAGCCCCAGGAGACGACUGUCCUUCUGAAUCCCUCCUUCAGGGGCCUUCUGAGCAGCUGGAGAGACGGAAGAAGCUGAGUAGUAAUGACUGAAGAGGCAACAGAUGGUAAGUUAAAUAUUCCUCUGGGAGCUGGUCAGCUUGACAGUCAUUCUAUAAAUAAUGCGCUGAGUUUUUACUACUCUUCCUGUGAGUAGAGGUUGUUUCACAAUUGCUUCCCACGCAGCCUUCGUCCUUCCUGUUUUCCAAGCCAAAAAUAUCUCCAGGAAAAUUACACAGGAAGACUUCCCCAGCCUACUACAGUUUUCUUAUAUCCUAAGCCCAGGAAGAUGUUCCAUGUUUACUAUUCAGCUGCUCAAAACACACAGCUCUCUCCGACUGUGUACAUAAGUAUACCUUUAAAACACAUCCAAAGCACAUUCUUUCCUUCAAAGAGUUCUGGGCAAUUCCAGAGUUAUGGUUUUCAGCAACCCUUAGCAAAUUACAGUACCUACAGAAAACUCUGACAGUCUGCAAGAGACCAGAGGAUCAGUGUUAAUAUACCCUCCAACUUUUCUCUGAUGAAAACAGGGAUGUCCUAUUUUUAUUAUUAUUAUUAUUAUUAUUAUUAUUAUUAUUAUUAUUACCCCGCCCAUCUGAGUAGGUUGCCCCAGCCACUCUGGGUGGCUUCCAACAUAUAUAAAACCAUAAUAAAACAUUGCACAUUUUUUAAAAACUUCCAUAUGCAGCGCUGCCUUCCGAUGUUUUCUAAAGGUUGUAUAGUUACUGAUCUCCUUGGAUCGGGGGUCGCAUAACUCCAUACCCUCCAACGUUUCUCUGAUGAAAAUAAGGAUGUCCUAAGGAAAAGUGGGAUAUUUGGGGAUCAAACCAGAAACUGGGGUGGCUUAUGUAAAUCCAGGACUGUCCUUGGAAAAUAGGGACACUUGAAGGGUCUGUGUUAAGAACCAGAUUUAGUCCUGUGCUUCUGAAAUAAUCUGAGGUGGAAUUUCCCAGUUCUAAGGCAUGCAUCUAUAGCAAGAGCUGCUCGGGUGAGCGGAAUUAGGAUCCAGCAGAUCUUAAGCAGGCAGAAGCCCUGAGAAAGAGGCAUCUGGUGGGAUCAGAGAGGGGCCACUUACAUUGGAUCCUAAGCCCAUUCAGCUGAGUCACAUGUACUGUCAACCCAGAAGAAAGGGUGGUGUGAUUCAAACACUAUUCUAAAGUCUUGUUUCCCCUCUGUGAGGCUUAGGUUAGCUCAGCCAGCUUUAGCCUGAUCCUGAAUGGAGUUUGGAUCUGGUUUCAUUUCUGCCGGACUUGUAUAGUUUCGAAGUAUUUUAUUUCCGAUGGAAAGAUGGAAUUCUUAAUUGAUAUGGAAAAUAAGGGUCUCCAGGGUUAUAACAAGACAACUGGGGGGGGGGGGAACGGUAUUGAAAGACAAGAGUUUUAUUUCGUGUCAAUGGUACAGACAGUCUCUGCAGUCUCCCUCCGCCCCCGCUCCCCAAAGAUAGUUUGUUAAUGAAUCAAAAGCUGGAUUUUGGAGGCGGGGGUUGCGGAUAUUCACAUCACAUUUCAGAGAUAGUAAGGCCCCUUCCUUUCCCUGCAGCCAUAACAAAAAUAAUCAGGAACAAAUGUAAUUAACUGAAAACACAUGCCGCCAUAGGUACAGAGAGAGAUUUCCGGAAGUAAGGCAGAACUGUAACUGAACAGAAAUUUAUGCUAAAAGCGUAACUAUGGGACGAAACAAAAUCCCCUGGCUAUUUACUAUCUUAUGAGCAUGCCAUAAAGAUACACACACACACACAUGCACACACACACACACCCUUAAGAACUUAAGUAACACCUCCUCAACCCACUUGGUUAGCUGGUUUACUGGUAAUGCAGUUAACCCUUAAGUCACACACUGAAUGAUCUCUGCUGUUGCACUUCCAACAACCUGGCCACUCAGCACACAGGCCCUGCUCAUUUCUUAUUAUUUAUUACAUUUAAACCCCACCUUUUCAGGUGGCGCUGUGGGUUAAACCAAAGAGCCUAGGACUUGCCGAUCAGAAGGUCGGAGGUUCGAAUCCCCGCGACGGGGUGAGCUCCCGUUGCUCGGUCCCUGCUCCUGCCCACCUAGCAGUUCGAAAGAUCGUCAAAGUGCAAGUAGAGAAAUAGGUACUGUUCCAGCAGGAAGGUAAACGGCGUUUCCGUGCGCUGCUCUGGUUCACCAGAAGCGGCUUAGUCAUGCUGGCCACAUGACCCGGAAGCUGUACGCCGGCUCCCUCAGCCAAUAAAGCGAGAUGAGCGCCACUCCCUCGGCCAAUAAAGCGAGAUGAGCGCCACUCCCUCAGCCAAUAAAGCGAGAUGAGUGCCGCAACCCCAGAGUCGGUAAUGACUGGACCUAAUGGUCAGGGGUCCCUUUACCUUUACCUUUACGUUUUUUUUAAAGAGCUCCUGGCAGUGUAUAAGGUUCACCCCCUCUCUUUUCGCAUCUGGAAGCAGGCAACGUGUCCUAGGGAAAAGGCAGAUUAUCUUCCACUUUGCCAUUCUUGUCAUGCUAUAUUGGGGGGGGGGUGUACAUCAGGGAACCUGGGGCCCUCCAGAUGUUGUUGGAUACCAAGUCCCAUCAGCCCUAGCCAGCCUGGCCAAUGGACAAGGAUGAAUUGCAGUCCAACCAUAACUAGGCUUCAUCAUCGAUCCUGCAGGAUUCCCAUGUCUGGUGUACAUCUUCCUGAUAUCUUCCAACUUCCCUGUUUAGGGAAGCUUUUAGCCCUGUUUAGGGAAGCUUUUAAUGUUUGACGGACUAUUGUAUUUUAAUAUUUUGUUGGAAGCCGCCCAGAGUGGCUGGGGAAACCCAGCCAGAUGGGCAGGGUAUAAAUAAUAAAUUAUUAUUAUUGUAUUAUAUAACCACCUAUCAGGGAGGGGAGAGGAGGCAGGGGAAGUCACAUUCCACUAGUGGGCCUUGUCCUGUGUGUGCGUACCCCACUUAGUGCUAUGUUGAAUUCCACCCUCAGUCUUCAAGGGCGGCCCCGCAUAGAUCGCGCUGCAGUACUCUAGUCGGUAGGUCACCAGCUCAUGGAAUUCAGUGGCCAAGUGACUUGUAAAUACUAUUUUACAAUACUUCUUUUUCACUUAUAAAGGUGGCAGGGCCCACCUGCACGGCCAUCGUUGUGUUGCCGUUUGCUGCUGCUGUUACACGUGCGGAAAGAAACACAAGAUCUCACAUGACAAGGUGGAUCAUGCGUGCAGAGGACACAUCAACACUGUCAAGUGGGCUGCAAAAUGAAAUGAAAUAUAAAUAUUCAAAAGCUGAACAAAUGAGAGGGGUAGUACCAAAGAUGCUCUUCGCCUGGGGUGCAAGGUAGUCAUUCUCUCUCUUUUUUUUGAAAAAAUAUUUUAUUGAUUUUCCACAUUUAUAACAAAUAUAACAUGUAAAAGACACAAAACGAAACACAUUACAAUACAGUGGUACCUCGGGUUAAGUACUUAAUUCGUUCCGGAGGUCUGUACUUAACCUGAAACUGUUCUUAACCUGAAGCACCACUUUAGCUAAUGGGGCCUCCCGCUGCCGUGCGCCGCUGGAGCACGAUUUCUGUUCUCAACCUGAAGCAAAGUUCUUAACCUGAAGCACUAUUUCUGGGUUAGCGGAGUGUGUAACCUGAAGCGUAUGUAACCCAAGGUACCACUGUACUAAAUGAAAAAAGAAAGAAAAAGAAAAACACUUAAUACUUCUAAAAUCCAAAUUAACUUUCAUUGUUAUCUGACUUCCUCAAAUCCCCCCCAACUGAAUUUCAUUGUGACACCUUUGUAACAGUUCUCCAAGAUCAUCUUUCUAAUAAAAUUAACUCCUAGUCAUUCUCCAUUAAUAUUCCAUUACAGCAGAUGAUAAAUGCACUGUCACACUGAAUCCAGCAUGCCCUGGCUAGUUUGAUUGGGGGGAAUUGAUAGGGUUAUUGUUGUGAAGCUGGCACAAGUUUAUAUAUUCCACCACACACUUUGCAAUGAGGGCGUAUCAAAAAUCACUCUACAGCAGACAUGUAAAUUUGGUGGUGCCUUUUCUAUGUAAUUUAAACCAUUUACUGAAGAGUAGGGUUUAAAAAAAGGCUAAAUCCCUAAACUUUCCAUACCUGUUCUGACUGAAUCCAUGAUUGCACUCAAAUCUUUUCCCAUUAAUAACUUUAAUGACUAAGCUCUGAUUUAACAGAAUGGGUGGGGGGAUUCUUGUUCCUUUCCUGAAGGAGUGGCUGCUGUUAACGCUGACUGCUGGUUUAGUCAAGAGGCCCUCUGCAUGUUUGAAGGAUAAUAAUCGAGUGGUUCGUGUAGCUAGUCAUAUUGAUGAGUAAGAUUUCCUAUGGACACUAAUGGGGGAAAGAAAAAACACACACUCCAUACGCAGAACUGGCAGUGGGAAAGGAAGAAACGAAUGGGCACUUCCAAGGGAUAAUUGUAUUUCUGCUUUGAAGCAUAUGGCAAGAUCGGGCUGAGGUAACUUAGACAGCACUGAAGGCCAUGUCAAGAAUAUAUCAUGACUCAGACGAUGGCAGAGAACUGGAAUAUUUACCAAUCCUUCCCAGAAAGAACUCCCGCAUUAUGCUACCAGUCUCUUCCAUCAGAAUCCUCUUCAAAACUCACCAUUUUUGUGAUGUCUUUGGCCGAACCCCUUGGUCUACACCCUCAAACAUACUCAAUGAAGGUCCAUAAAGCCUAAAUCCAUGCUAUAUUUUAAAGCUUUGUAAUACAGUGGUACCUCAGGUUCCAUGCGCUUCAGGUUACAUACGCUUCAGGUUACAGACUCUGCUAACCCAGAAAUAGUGCUUCCGGUUAAGAACUUUGCUUCAGGGAAGUUUUUAAUCUGUGAUAUUUUACUGUAUUUUUGGUUUCUAUGGAAGCCGCCCAGAGUGGCUGGGGAAACCCAGCCAGAUGGGCGGGGUACAAAUAAUAAAUUAUUAUUAUUAUUCAGUAUGAGAACAAAAAUUGUGCUCCAGCAGCGCGGCAGUGGCAGGAGGCCCCAUUAGCUAAAGUGGUGCUUCAGGUUAAGAACAGUUUCAGGUUAAGAACGGACCUCCAGAACGAAUUAAGUACUUAACCCGAGGUACCACUGUACAAUUUUAAACAGUCUUCCCCUAAAGAAUCCUGGGCACUGUAACUUGUUAAGGGUUCGGAGAGUUAAUAACUGUCCCCCCUACAGAUCUACAAUUCCCAGAGUUCCCUGGGAAGAGGGAUUGACUGUUAAACCACUACUGUAGCUCGGUGAGAGGAAUAAGGAUCUCCCAAGAACCCUCAGCACCCUUAACAAACUACAGUUCCCAUGGUUGGGUGGGAAUGUGCUUCAAAUGUAUGGGGUAUACACAGUCCGUAUUCCACCCCAACAUACCAAAAAGCUGCAAACUGGGAUCUGGACAUCAGAUUUCUAUGAAAUAGAAUAAUAUGUACUGGUUAUGGGAAGCUGAUAUCAUAAAUAUGAACAAAUUAAAACUGACAUAAUCAUACUGUUGUUAUUGCGGGGUGGGUGGGAAUCAAAUCAACCUGAAUACAAUAGGUAACACAUACAAAGAACACAUAGAAUCAUAGUCAAUAAAUAGUCAAUAAAUUAAUUUUAUUUGUUUGUUCUUAUUAUACAUGAACAAAGGAAGAAAAUAAGCUUAAAGCAGAAUAACAACACCAACUGAGGCUUGCUCCCUUGGUCAUCCCCAAGCCAUUGAAAGAGAAGAUUGCAAGGCAUAACCUUCAGAGGGACCCAUAAGUUAACCUCCAAGUUUGGAACACUAAGACAAAAGUCUCACAAUCAUAGAAAUAGAAUGGUCCAAGCCACCUCAAGAAGCUGAACUUCUCAAGGUCCUCUGGUGUACAACUCUAGAUACAAUUCAC
Podarcis lilfordi (Lilford's wall lizard) is the source of this 8040-nucleotide non-coding RNA. NCBI's taxonomy places the organism in Eukaryota, Metazoa, Chordata, Lepidosauria, Squamata, Lacertidae. The record is from the annotation of a GenBank genome assembly.